GUUGAACGCUAGCGGCAGGCUUAACACAUGCAAGUCGAGGGGUAGAGGAAGCUUGCUUCCUUGAGACCGGCGCACGGGUGCGUAACGCGUAUACAAUCUACCUUUUACAGAGGGAUAGCCCCAGAGAAAUUUGGAUUAAUACCUCAUAGUAUUUUCGGAUCGCAUGAUUUGAUUAUUAAAGUUCCAGCGGUAAAAGAUGAGUAUGCGUCCCAUUAGCUAGAUGGUAAGGUAACGGCUUACCAUGGCUACGAUGGGUAGGGGUCCUGAGAGGGAGAUCCCCCACACUGGUACUGAGACACGGACCAGACUCCUACGGGAGGCAGCAGUGAGGAAUAUUGGACAAUGGGCGAAAGCCUGAUCCAGCAAUGCCGCGUGAGUGAUGAAGGCCU
Molecule: ribosomal RNA, 389 nt
Filed under: uncultured bacterium
Lineage: Bacteria
Description: bacterial SSU rRNA
Rfam family: Bacterial small subunit ribosomal RNA
Source: RNAcentral